UAUACAUGCAAGUCGAACGAACUCUGGUAUUGAUUGGUGCUUGCAUCAUGAUUUACAUUUGAGUGAGUGGCGAACUGGUGAGUAACACGUGGGAAACCUGCCCAGAAGCGGGGGAUAACACCUGGAAACAGAUGCUAAUACCGCAUAACAACUUGGACCGCAUGGUCCGAGUUUGAAAGAUGGCUUCAGCUAUCACUUUUGGAUGGUCCCGCGGCGUAUUAGCUAGAUGGUGGGGUAACGGCUCACCAUGGCAAUGAUACGUAGCCGACCUGAGAGGGUAAUCGGCCACAUUGGGACUGAGACACGGCCCAAACUCCUACGGGAGGCAGCAGUAGGGAAUCUUCCACAAUGGACGAAAGUCUGAUGGAGCAACGCCGCGUGAGUGAAGAAGGGUUUCGGCUCGUAAAACUCUGUUGUUAAAGAAGAACAUAUCUGAGAGUAACUGUUCAGGUAUUGACGGUAUUUAACCAGAAAGCCACGGCUAACUACGUGCCAGCAGCCGCGGUAAUACGUAGGUGGCAAGCGUUGUCCGGAUUUAUUGGGCGUAAAGCGAGCGCAGGCGGUUUUUUAAGUCUGAUGUGAAAGCCUUCGGCUCAACCGAAGAAGUGCAUCGGAAACUGGGAAACUUGAGUGCAGAAGAGGACAGUGGAACUCCAUGUGUAGCGGUGAAAUGCGUAGAUAUAUGGAAGAACACCAGUGGCGAAGGCGGCUGUCUGGUCUGUAACUGACGCUGAGGCUCGAAAGUAUGGGUAGCAAACAGGAUUAGAUACCCUGGUAGUCCAUACCGUAAACGAUGAAUGCUAAGUGUUGGAGGGUUUCCGCCCUUCAGUGCUGCAGCUAACGCAUUAAGCAUUCCGCCUGGGGAGUACGGCCGCAAGGCUGAAACUCAAAGGAAUUGACGGGGGCCCGCACAAGCGGUGGAGCAUGUGGUUUAAUUCGAAGCUACGCGAAGAACCUUACCAGGUCUUGACAUACUAUGCAAAUCUAAGAGAUUAGACGUUCCCUUCGGGGACAUGGAUACAGGUGGUGCAUGGUUGUCGUCAGCUCGUGUCGUGAGAUGUUGGGUUAAGUCCCGCAACGAGCGCAACCCUUAUUAUCAGUUGCCAGCAUUAAGUUGGGCACUCUGGUGAGACUGCCGGUGACAAACCGGAGGAAGGUGGGGAUGACGUCAAAUCAUCAUGCCCCUUAUGACCUGGGCUACACACGUGCUACAAUGGAUGGUACAACGAGUUGCGAACUCGCGAGAGUAAGCUAAUCUCUUAAAGCCAUUCUCAGUUCGGAUUGUAGGCUGCAACUCGCCUACAUGAAGUCGGAAUCGCUAGUAAUCGCGGAUCAGCAUGCCGCGGUGAAUACGUUCCCGGGCCUUGUACACACCGCCCGUCACACCAUGAGAGUUUGUAACACCCAAAGUCGGUGGGGUAACCUUUUAGGAACCAGCC
This 1439-nucleotide ribosomal RNA is filed under the name Lactiplantibacillus plantarum. RNAcentral's name for it is "bacterial SSU rRNA". It matches the Rfam family "Bacterial small subunit ribosomal RNA". Lineage: Bacteria; Bacillati; Bacillota; Bacilli; Lactobacillales; Lactobacillaceae. The record is from RNAcentral.